GACGAACGCUGGCGGCGUGCCUAAUACAUGCAAGUAGAACGCUGAAGGAGGAGCUUGCUUCUCUGGAUGAGUUGCGAACGGGUGAGUAACGCGUAGGUAACCUGCCUGGUAGCGGGGGAUAACUAUUGGAAACGAUAGCUAAUACCGCAUAAUAGUAGAUGUUGCAUGACAUUUGCUUAAAAGGUGCAAUUGCAUCACUACCAGAUGGACCUGCGUUGUAUUAGCUAGUUGGUGGGGUAACGGCUCACCAAGGCGACGAUACAUAGCCGACCUGAGAGGGUGAUCGGCCCCACUGGGACUGGGACACGGCCCAGACUCCUACGGGAGGCAGCAGUAGGGAAUCUUCGGCAAUGGACGGAAGUCUGACCGAGCAACGCCGCGUGAGUGAAGAAGGUUUUCGGAUCGUAAAGCUCUGUUGUAAGAGAAGAACGAGUGUGAGAGUGGAAAGUUCACACUGUGACGGUAUCUUACCAGAAAGGGACGGCUAACUACGUG
This 495-nucleotide ribosomal RNA is filed under the name uncultured bacterium. Its description in RNAcentral is "partial 16S ribosomal RNA". It matches the Rfam family "Bacterial small subunit ribosomal RNA", at positions 28 to 507 of the family's 1533-position model. The record is from RNAcentral.